RNAcentral lists this ribosomal RNA (2927 nucleotides) under Escherichia coli. Its description in RNAcentral is "23S ribosomal RNA". It matches the Rfam family "Bacterial large subunit ribosomal RNA". Lineage: Bacteria; Pseudomonadati; Pseudomonadota; Gammaproteobacteria; Enterobacterales; Enterobacteriaceae. The record is from RNAcentral.
GGGUUGUGAGGUUAAGCGACUAAGCGUACACGGUGGAUGCCCUGGCAGUCAGAGGCGAUGAAGGACGUGCUAAUCUGCGAUAAGCGUCGGUAAGGUGAUAUGAACCGUUAUAACCGGCGAUUUCCGAAUGGGGAAACCCAGUGUGAUUCGUCACACUAUCAUUAACUGAAUCCAUAGGUUAAUGAGGCGAACCGGGGGAACUGAAACAUCUAAGUACCCCGAGGAAAAGAAAUCAACCGAGAUUCCCCCAGUAGCGGCGAGCGAACGGGGAGGAGCCCAGAGCCUGAAUCAGUGUGUGUGUUAGUGGAAGCGUCUGGAAAGGCGCGCGAUACAGGGUGACAGCCCCGUACACAAAAAUGCACAUGCUGUGAGCUCGAUGAGUAGGGCGGGACACGUGGUAUCCUGUCUGAAUAUGGGGGGACCAUCCUCCAAGGCUAAAUACUCCUGACUGACCGAUAGUGAACCAGUACCGUGAGGGAAAGGCGAAAAGAACCCCGGCGAGGGGAGUGAAAAAGAACCUGAAACCGUGUACGUACAAGCAGUGGGAGCACAGAGCAAUCUGUGUGACUGCGUACCUUUUGUAUAAUGGGUCAGCGACUUAUAUUCUGUAGCAAGGUUAACCGAAUAGGGGAGCCGAAGGGAAACCGAGUCUUAACUGGGCGUUAAGUUGCAGGGUAUAGACCCGAAACCCGGUGAUCUAGCCAUGGGCAGGUUGAAGGUUGGGUAACACUAACUGGAGGACCGAACCGACUAAUGUUGAAAAAUUAGCGGAUGACUUGUGGCUGGGGGUGAAAGGCCAAUCAAACCGGGAGAUAGCUGGUUCUCCCCGAAAGCUAUUUAGGUAGCGCCUCGUGAAUUCAUCUCCGGGGGUAGAGCACUGUUUCGGCAAGGGGGUCAUCCCGACUUACCAACCCGAUGCAAACUGCGAAUACCGGAGAAUGUUAUCACGGGAGACACACGGCGGGUGCUAACGUCCGUCGUGAAGAGGGAAACAACCCAGACCGCCAGCUAAGGUCCCAAAGUCAUGGUUAAGUGGGAAACGAUGUGGGAAGGCCCAGACAGCCAGGAUGUUGGCUUAGAAGCAGCCAUCAUUUAAAGAAAGCGUAAUAGCUCACUGGUCGAGUCGGCCUGCGCGGAAGAUGUAACGGGGCUAAACCAUGCACCGAAGCUGCGGCAGCGACGCUUAUGCGUUGUUGGGUAGGGGAGCGUUCUGUAAGCCUGCGAAGGUGUGCUGUGAGGCAUGCUGGAGGUAUCAGAAGUGCGAAUGCUGACAUAAGUAACGAUAAAGCGGGUGAAAAGCCCGCUCGCCGGAAGACCAAGGGUUCCUGUCCAACGUUAAUCGGGGCAGGGUGAGUCGACCCCUAAGGCGAGGCCGAAAGGCGUAGUCGAUGGGAAACAGGUUAAUAUUCCUGUACUUGGUGUUACUGCGAAGGGGGGACGGAGAAGGCUAUGUUGGCCGGGCGACGGUUGUCCCGGUUUAAGCGUGUAGGCUGGUUUUCCAGGCAAAUCCGGAAAAUCAAGGCUGAGGCGUGAUGACGAGGCACUACGGUGCUGAAGCAACAAAUGCCCUGCUUCCAGGAAAAGCCUCUAAGCAUCAGGUAACAUCAAAUCGUACCCCAAACCGACACAGGUGGUCAGGUAGAGAAUACCAAGGCGCUUGAGAGAACUCGGGUGAAGGAACUAGGCAAAAUGGUGCCGUAACUUCGGGAGAAGGCACGCUGAUAUGUAGGUGAAGUCCCUCGCGGAUGGAGCUGAAAUCAGUCGAAGAUACCAGCUGGCUGCAACUGUUUAUUAAAAACACAGCACUGUGCAAACACGAAAGUGGACGUAUACGGUGUGACGCCUGCCCGGUGCCGGAAGGUUAAUUGAUGGGGUCAGCGCAAGCGAAGCUCUUGAUCGAAGCCCCGGUAAACGGCGGCCGUAACUAUAACGGUCCUAAGGUAGCGAAAUUCCUUGUCGGGUAAGUUCCGACCUGCACGAAUGGCGUAAUGAUGGCCAGGCUGUCUCCACCCGAGACUCAGUGAAAUUGAACUCGCUGUGAAGAUGCAGUGUACCCGCGGCAAGACGGAAAGACCCCGUGAACCUUUACUAUAGCUUGACACUGAACAUUGAGCCUUGAUGUGUAGGAUAGGUGGGAGGCUUUGAAGUGUGGACGCCAGUCUGCAUGGAGCCGACCUUGAAAUACCACCCUUUAAUGUUUGAUGUUCUAACGUUGACCCGUGAUCCGGGUUGCGGACAGUGUCUGGUGGGUAGUUUGACUGGGGCGGUCUCCUCCUAAAGAGUAACGGAGGAGCACGAAGGUUGGCUAAUCCUGGUCGGACAUCAGGAGGUUAGUGCAAUGGCAUAAGCCAGCUUGACUGCGAGCGUGACGGCGCGAGCAGGUGCGAAAGCAGGUCAUAGUGAUCCGGUGGUUCUGAAUGGAAGGGCCAUCGCUCAACGGAUAAAAGGUACUCCGGGGAUAACAGGCUGAUACCGCCCAAGAGUUCAUAUCGACGGCGGUGUUUGGCACCUCGAUGUCGGCUCAUCACAUCCUGGGGCUGAAGUAGGUCCCAAGGGUAUGGCUGUUCGCCAUUUAAAGUGGUACGCGAGCUGGGUUUAGAACGUCGUGAGACAGUUCGGUCCCUAUCUGCCGUGGGCGCUGGAGAACUGAGGGGGGCUGCUCCUAGUACGAGAGGACCGGAGUGGACGCAUCACUGGUGUUCGGGUUGUCAUGCCAAUGGCACUGCCCGGUAGCUAAAUGCGGAAGAGAUAAGUGCUGAAAGCAUCUAAGCACGAAACUUGCCCCGAGAUGAGUUCUCCCUGACUCCUUGAGAGUCCUGAAGGAACGUUGAAGACGACGACGUUGAUAGGCCGGGUGUGUAAGCGCAGCGAUGCGUUGAGCUAACCGGUACUAAUGAACCGUGAGGCUUAACCUUACAACGCCGAAG